CAGAUACUUCUCCUCUCGUUCUUUAGCGCCCUCACAGGUUGGGAGGAAGAUUCAUCACCAGAACUCAUUUUUCCGUCACAGAGGCCAUGCAUGACAGUGAAGGGAUUUCUCUCACACCUGAGAUGCUGAAGGCUGAGUUUCCAAUGAUUGAAAGCCUACCAACAACAGAACAGCUUAAAGAUAGAUCAGCAAAAGACGAGAGAGAUGUAAGAGAACAGCAACUGGAGCAAUAUCUACAAUCCCAGAACAAUAAACUUGGAACAAAAGUUAAAACUCAGCUGAAGCAACUGAAGUUGGUGGCCAGGCCUGAUGGAAAAGAUGAAAUAUAUGACUGGCUGAUGUCUUACUGCAAUACUGACUAAAGGUUGUUUAAUGCUAAUAUCACUUUUUCUUAAUGUGUCUUUUUAUAGCAGAUUAUAAAAUAUUACAUUCAAAAUUACUGAGGAAAAUGUAACUGAUUGAGUGUUUAUAUAUUAGCUGUCAUAUUUAAAUAGGCAUUUGUUUACAUUACUGUUUUAAUACAUGUUUUUGAUUAAACUUAUUCAGCAGCAGUUUUUAUACAAUAUAUAGCUGUAAUACAUGCUGUAUAUUGUCUUGCAUCAUUGCUUACUAUAAAGGGAUUAUUAAAAAAAAAAACUUGGCCUUUUAAAGUUUUUUUUUUUUUUUUUUUUUUUUUUUUUUUUAAUUGUCCAUAUAUUGUAGUCUGUUUUCUAUAGUUUGAGCCCCAUCUAGCUGUUGAUCAUAAGAAUAAUAAAACAAAUUAAAAAGCUGUACUGCUUACAAUAGCUCUCAUGAAUGCUCAGUGUGAUUUAUAGCAGCAUGUACGUUUGUAUUAUUACUGUGACUGUCGAUAACAC
Long non-coding RNA from Polyodon spathula (Mississippi paddlefish), 857 nucleotides. RefSeq lists it as uncharacterized. The record is from RefSeq and is a predicted model, not a curated record. The transcript has 3 exons. Lineage: Eukaryota; Metazoa; Chordata; Actinopteri; Acipenseriformes; Polyodontidae.